UCUGGUCCCCUGUAAGCUGAGAAAAGUCAGCGCGUGCAGGAAGAAAACGGCGGGACUGAUCCGGGCUCCCAGACGGAGGAUAUAAAAGCAAAAGAAAACAAACCGUUGGGCUGCUGUAUGAGGAGAUCUCGGGACACGGAGGGGCUGCAUAGACGGAGUGUGGAGGUGUCCCUUGACGGCUGACGGGAGGAGAGCAUUGUGUACCUACCCACAUAGAUCCCGGCAGAGAGACGGCUGGGGGAGCGGAGGCUGAGGUGGAGAAAGCUACCCGGAGGCGCGGCAUACACAGUGUCAGCGGCGGGCAGGAGAACUCUGACUGGGGAGUGCUGCGGAGAGAGACGGCCCCCGGAGACCCCCUCGGGGAGUUGGCUGGACGUUUUGGAGACCAACCGGAGCAGUCCCACCCGCGUUCAUCUGUCUCAUACGACCACUCCUUUAGGUCCCACCCGAGUUCAUCUGUCUCAUACGACCACUCCUUUAGGU
This is a long non-coding RNA of Pseudophryne corroboree (corroboree frog), 483 nucleotides long. RefSeq lists it as uncharacterized. The record is from RefSeq and is a predicted model, not a curated record. The transcript has 3 exons. Lineage: Eukaryota; Metazoa; Chordata; Amphibia; Anura; Myobatrachidae.